AGAAUGUGGACCUAAAAAUAGAAGUUAAACUCUUCUUAGUGAC
RNAcentral lists this transfer RNA (43 nucleotides) under Carlia johnstonei. Its description in RNAcentral is "partial tRNA-His". RNAcentral also lists the same sequence under 1 other name. The record is from RNAcentral. Lineage: Eukaryota; Metazoa; Chordata; Lepidosauria; Squamata; Scincidae.